AGUACUAUGUUGAAGAGGAACGGUGAGAGUAGGCAUCCUGGUCUUGUUCCCGUUCUCAGAGGGAAUGCUUUCAACUUUUCCCCAUUCGGUAUUAUAUUGGCUGUGGGUUUGUCACAGAUGGCUUUUAUUACAUUAAGGUUUGUGCAUACUUAUAUAUACAUGAUGUCUCUUGGAGCAGAAGAAGAAGCAGAAAUGCUGCACUAAGAGAGAUUUAAGGCCUAGAUUUCAUUUUCCAUAUGCCAGCUUUGUUAUAUUUCUCCGAGCUUCAGAUCCUGUUUUCUAAACUGUGAUCAGCGUAAGUGUGGCUAACAGUGAUUGGAAUGGAUUUAAAGCGUCAAUUCCAAAGUAGAGAUUAUGAGUCAACUUUUUUUGCAGGGGGCUAUCCUCUGUCAGAGUUAUAUCAACUUAUAAUUUUCCUGUAGUCUCAAUACCACUAAGCCAUCUCUACUAAUAGAGAUAAGAGAAAGAACCUGCAUUAUUUAUCAGUAUGCAUCUCACAUUGAAAACCUAACCUUACCAACAUUGCCUGGGAAUGCUAAUGUCUUCUGUGCCAUGGGAGAGCACAACAGGGCACUGUGUAAGCACUGUGUAAGAAGAUGUGGUGAAGAGUGACCACCUAUGAACACAUUCCCAGUGGACAGACCUUUUCAAGUUCUCCUCUUGACGUUGGCUUGCUUUGGGGAUGACUGUCUGGUGUUCCUGCCCUUGCUAUGGUGAAAACAGAGCACAAGGAAAGCCACGGAAGGCAAACAGGGAAUGCAACCUUAGAUCAAUCCUUCCCAAACUGUCACUGAGACACAGAAGCCACAGAGACACACUCACACGUUAUGACACUUGAAGAAUUAUGUAGGUUAUUGCUGACACCAUGUAAGCACCCUCUAAAAUAACCCAGAAAAAAUGCUCUGAGAAGACCUGAAUUACAAGUGUGUGGAAUACCUCCAUCUUCUGCUUAACUGAUGUGAACCACAGGGAAGGGAUAAUUGUGGAAAUGAAACAGGAAACAAGCAAAACCAUUUAUAACACAUGAAAAUGAGUAAGCAAGCAAGUUGGCAUGCAUGAGAUAUAGAAAAAAGAGCGAAUUUGUAUCUAGUGCUUCCAGUGAAUUGUUCAAGAACACUUCAUCCUUGGAGAAGAAUUUCCUCUAAUUCUGUCAAGGGUGGUGUCUGCAUGGGUUACGUGCCAAGUAAUUGCCUGGUCACAAGCUAACAGUGUCAAGAGGCUAUUUUAAAGAUGAAUGGGAACACAAAACAUAUUUUGUCCUAUUCACCACUUUGAAUAUAUCUCAGGAACAAAACUUGCACCUGAAAUGAAAUGGAGAAAUGCGAUUUUUAUGAGUUACUGGCUUUUUCCCCCCUUCACACCACUGACAGAACAAAAACAUUUAGAGGAAGACAGCCCAAUGUCAUGUAAGUAUUUGUAUAUUUGUUCUCACCAUGGUACACAAGGGACAUAUCGAACCCUUUCCCUGACUAAAAACAGGACAUUAUUUAAGCUCUGCCAUCACACUCCAAUGCUUUUCAAUAGCUAGAAGAAUUCUGCAUUCCUUCCCAUAGGAACUGUAAGCUCAAAAAGAAAAAUUCUUCUGCAACACACUCUAUCAAUAACUUGUAUUCAUUUUGCUUUCUGAAAUAGUUACUUUUUAAAAUGUAUAUGCUAAGAAAAAGUGAAAGAAGAAAAAAGAGGCCCUCCAUCUAUGAAUUGUGCUCUUUUUUUAUUCAUAUGAUUUCCAAGACCAAGCAAAUUAUCAUAAUCUUCCUAACAGAGAUACACAAUUCCACCUAAGAAUUACCAUUUACUUAAACCAGUGAAAAGCAGUUUCUAUUAGAUGCUGAGACAAGUCAUCUGUAUGUGUUCAUAUGUGCUCCCUAGAAAUUAUUUUUGAAUUUCAAGGUUAUAAAUAAUUCCCAAACUCAAGUUCAUGCUGAUAUUCUAAUAUGGGUUAUUUGUUCUCCUCUGCUGGUGUCAUUUCUUUUGAUUUAAUCAUUAUCCCUUACAGGCUGGCACUGGUCUAUUCAGUAUACUGACAGGACCAAGCCAUCAUCCCACCUAAGAAUAUCAAUUAUGCUUUCAAAGCAUACAAUUUGAUUCAUGCAGAAGCUACUGUAUAUGCAUCAUGGUGUUUUCAUAAAGACUCCCUUAUUUACUCUAAACAGUGUUAUGCCUUUUACCAUAAGAUUCUGUAGUAACUGUUUAACCUUUCUAAAUCUUUUCAAGAAAUCUUAAAAGAAAGGAAAGCUUGCCCUCAAGAAUACACUUUCUGUUCUUAUAAAAAUCAGCUCCUCUAUAAAUAGCUGCAGUGAGGCAAAGCUUCAAAGCUUCAGCCUAAAAUGCCAUGAGUACUGUCCUGUAGAGACAGCUUUCAACCAUGUCUGAGUCGGCACAAAAAAGGAACUUCCUGCCAGCUGAAUGUGUGUCUCCCAACUUUCUCUCCUCAUGCAUAUCUAAAAAGGAUACUGAGCUAGAAUUGCUAGUAGUUUUCCUAUUUAAGGCCUGUAUGGAAGUCGUUCCCACAGUAGAAGCUGGAAACACACACACAGCCCACUCCUUCACUCACUCAUAACCUAGCAGGACCAGCUCCGGGCCCGCUCAGCUCCCUGUGCUGCCUGAUUUCUCAUUUCUCGAAGCACACAGAGGCUGGAAUGAGCCCACCAUCUGCCCCAACCACCAGAAACAAAAACAUGCCUUUUUCUAUCCCUGUGUGUGCAGGCAACGUCCACCCAUGCUGCUCAAGCCCUUUGAUCCUACAGACCAAGCCACCACAUCCUCUUCAUACCCCCUCAUGCACCCAUGAACACAAGCACGCACACACACACACACACACAC
Molecule: long non-coding RNA, 2823 nt
Filed under: Homo sapiens (human)
Lineage: Eukaryota; Metazoa; Chordata; Mammalia; Primates; Hominidae
Description: non-protein coding lnc-MAN1A1-1:1
Source: RNAcentral